RNA transcript from Mastomys coucha (southern multimammate mouse), 599 nucleotides. It is a transcript of the gene named coiled-coil domain-containing protein 12 pseudogene, with no coding region annotated. NCBI's taxonomy places the organism in Eukaryota, Metazoa, Chordata, Mammalia, Rodentia, Muridae. The record is from RefSeq and is a predicted model, not a curated record. The transcript has a single exon.
AUGUGUGAAAAAAAAAAAAAAAAAGGAGGGGCCUCCGAAAAGAAGGCGGCUGCUCCUGCUGGUAUGGGCCGCCUCGAGGAAGAGGCGCUGCGGCGGAAAGAACGGCUGAAGGCCCUCCGGGAGAAAACCGGGCGCAAGGACAGGGAAGAUGGGGAGCCACAGACCAAGCAGCUCAGAGAAGAGGAGAAGGAAGUUGGGAAGCACAGGGGACCCAGGCUUCGGAACUAUGUCCCAGAGGAUGAAGAUCUGAAAAGGAGGCGGGUCCCCCAGGCUAAACCUGUUGCAGUGGAGGAGAAGGUGAAGGAGCAGCUGGAGGCGGCCAAGCCGGAGCCUGUCAAUGAGGAAGUGGACCUGGCCAACCUGGCACUCCAGAAACCUGAUUGGGAUCUCAAGAGAGAUGUGGCCAAGAAGCUGGAGAAGCUAGAAAAGCGGACCCAGAGAGCAAUCGCAGAGCUGAUCCGUGAACGGCUAAAAGGCCAGGAGGACAGCUUGGCCUCUGCAGUGGACGCCACCACCGGACAAGAGGCUUGUGACUCUGACUGAGGUGUUCUCCAUGGGAAGAUAGUCUCAGGCAGGCGUGGGGUUAAGCUGGUCAGCAC